AGAAAAUCAAUGAAGAGAAGAGUACUCUAACUGAUUUCUAAAGCGAGCAGGGGAGGGUGUAAGCCCUGUGAAUAGGUUAGUUUGGAAGAGAGCCUCUGAGAUGCCAUCUGAAUUGAGUAAGACUGGCCGCAGAAUACUGCGUUAAAAAGUUGAGUGGCAAUUUUAUUGCAACUAGAGUGGUACCGCGGAUAUUUCCGUCUCUUGU
This 205-nucleotide non-coding RNA is filed under the name Clostridium paraputrificum. RNAcentral's name for it is "T-box sequence". It matches the Rfam family "T-box leader". From Rfam's summary of the family: Uncharged tRNA acts as the effector for transcription antitermination of genes in the T-box leader family. T-boxes are found upstream of many aminoacyl-tRNA synthetase genes and some amino acid biosynthetic genes usually in Gram-positive bacteria. Lineage: Bacteria; Bacillati; Bacillota; Clostridia; Eubacteriales; Clostridiaceae. The record is from RNAcentral.